Molecule: long non-coding RNA, 910 nt
Filed under: Lactuca sativa (garden lettuce)
Lineage: Eukaryota; Viridiplantae; Streptophyta; Magnoliopsida; Asterales; Asteraceae
Description: long non-coding RNA (LSAT_LNC005623)
Source: RNAcentral
UUCAAACUCAUCAUGAGAUGGACUACUUAUCAUCAUUAUCAUCAUCAAUCAUGUCAUAGUAGCAGCAAUACAUCAUCGAAUCCCAAAUGGAAAAUUUGCUAAGUGCCGAAACAAAACAUCAAAAAUAGACACAUGACAAGUUUUAAAGAUGCUAAACGACUCCAAAAAUAAACAAACACUUGAAGUAAUAUAACUAAAUAAACAGAUGACACGACACAACACGAUAGGCCUACUCAAAAGGCUAAUAGUAAAACAAGAGGGGGAGGGAUUAUAAUUCGUAUCCUUACUCAAAGAUCUUGAAGAGAAGUCCUCCAUGGGUGGCGAAGAAUGGAGCAAACACAAGAGACUCAACAGCCAUGAGUUUGAUGAGGAUGUUUAGUGAUGGUCCUGAUGUGUCCUUUAAAGGAUCCCCAACAGUGUCUCCAAUCACAGCUGCCUUGUGUGCGUCAGACCCUUUUGGUCCAAGUGACUUUGCAUGGUCAGAAACACCCGCCUAACAUUAAACAAAUCAACACAUUAUAUUAUAUUUUAAUAGUAAAAAACAAAUAUAGGAUGCUUCAAUUGUCAUACCUCGAUAUAUUUCUUAGCAUUGUCCCAAGCACCACCAGUGUUGGAUGCAGAGAUAGCAAUCUGUACACCAGAAACAAGAGAUCCAGCAAGAACACCAGAAAGCGUCUCAACACCAAACAAAAUCCCAACAAUAAGAGGAGUCAACAUAACAAGAGCACCAGGUGGAAUCAUCUCCUUAAUAGAAGCAUCAGUAGAAAUCUUAACACACGUGGCAUAAUCAGGCUUAGCAGUUCCCUCCAUCAACCCAGGAAUCUCAUUAAACUGUCUCCUAACUUCCUCCACCAUCUUAAGCGCAGCCUUCCCGACACUCUUCAUAGUCAUAGCCGAGAACCAAUACGGA